GUUUACCAAAAACAUGGCUUCGUGUUCAUCCUAAAAUACGAAGUCGGACCUGCCCGGUGAAUUUUAAACGGCCGCGGUACUCUGACCGUGCAAAGGUAGCAUAAUCAUUUGCCUUAUAAUUGAAGGCUGGAAUGAAUGGUUUGACAAGAAUACAACUGUCUCUUUAUGACUUCCUAGAACUUUAUUUUUGGAUGAAAAAGUCCAGAUAUUAUUAAAAGACAAGAAGACCCUAUCGAGCUUUAGGAAAAUUGGUGGACUUAACAUUAAAACAAUAGAAAUAAAAGAAAAGCCAUCAAGUAUACUUUGGUUGGGGCAACCGAGGAGCAAGUAAAGCCUCCUUUGAAUUUUAAAUCAUACUUGUAUCGAUCCAAAUAUUUUGAUCAAAGGAAUUAGUUACCGUAGGGAUAACAGCAUUAUCUUUUUCGAGAGCCCAUAUCGAAAAAAAGGUUUGUGACCUCGAUGUUGGACCAGAAUAUCCUAAAGAUGCAGAAGUCUUUAAGGGUUGGUCUGUUCGACCAUUAAAAUUCUACGUGAUCUGAGUUCAGACCGG
RNAcentral lists this ribosomal RNA (550 nucleotides) under Conus viola. RNAcentral describes it as "partial 16S ribosomal RNA". It matches the Rfam family "Bacterial large subunit ribosomal RNA", at positions 1802 to 2619 of the family's 2925-position model. Lineage: Eukaryota; Metazoa; Mollusca; Gastropoda; Neogastropoda; Conidae. The record is from RNAcentral.